Small nuclear RNA from Capsella rubella, 102 nucleotides. Lineage: Eukaryota; Viridiplantae; Streptophyta; Magnoliopsida; Brassicales; Brassicaceae. The record is from Rfam.
GUCCCUUUGAAGACAUUUGAUAAAAUUGGAACGAUACAAAAAAGAAUAGUAUGGUCUUGUGCAAGGAUGACACGCACAAAUUGAGAAAUCGUCCAAAACAUU